AGUGAACGCUGGCGGUAGGCCUAACACAUGCAAGUCGAACGGCAGCACAGUAAGAGCUUGCUCUUACGGGUGGCGAGUGGCGGACGGGUGAGGAAUACAUCGGAAUCUACUUUUUCGUGGGGGAUAACGUAGGGAAACUUACGCUAAUACCGCAUACGACCUACGGGUGAAAGCAGUGGAUCUUCGGACCUUGCUCGAUUGAAUGAGUCGAUGUCGGAUUAGUUAGUUGGCGGGGUAAAAGCCCACCAAGGCGACGAUCCGUAGCUGGUCUGAGAGGAUGAUUAGACACACUGGAACUGAGACACAGUCCAGUCUCCUACGGUAGGCAGCAGUGGGGAAUCUUGGACGAUGGGCACAAGCCUGAUCCAACCAUACCGCGUGGGUGAAGAAGGCCUUCGCGUUGUAAAGCCCUUUUGUUGGGAAGGAAAAGCAGCAGGUUAAUCCCCCGCUGUUCUGCCGGUACCCAAAGAAUAAGCACCGGCUAACUUCGUG
RNAcentral lists this ribosomal RNA (492 nucleotides) under uncultured bacterium. RNAcentral's name for it is "partial 16S ribosomal RNA". It matches the Rfam family "Bacterial small subunit ribosomal RNA", at positions 29 to 507 of the family's 1533-position model. The record is from RNAcentral.